Molecule: small RNA, 123 nt
Filed under: Yersinia ruckeri
Lineage: Bacteria; Pseudomonadati; Pseudomonadota; Gammaproteobacteria; Enterobacterales; Yersiniaceae
Description: Enterobacteria greA leader
Rfam family: Enterobacteria greA leader
Source: RNAcentral
GCCAUACUACGGUGCAACGAGGGCGAAAGUAAACGAUGACCCUAAAGGAACUCUACGUUAAAAUGUUUAUCAAAAUGCAAAAUUGAUCCAAGCUCGGGGUUUUUGCUCCGAGAGUGGUUUUUU